AAAUCAUUUUGAUGGUCAUAAAAUGGCUGGAGGAAUGUAGCUUCGAUCUUGUAUUGAAGUGUUAUAGCCUUCGGUAGAUGUGACGAUCGGGAUUGAGGAUUGCAACGGAUACCCUUCGGGGCUACCUGUCUGAUCUCUGAUUGUUGCUCUGGUACCGAAAGCUUGCUUACGGUUAUCAAAGUCGAUGGUCAAUAGGUUAGAACGGGUUAAAUUCGUUAAGGAUGUUGACGUAA
RNAcentral lists this ribosomal RNA (233 nucleotides) under uncultured fungus. RNAcentral's name for it is "partial large subunit ribosomal RNA". Lineage: Eukaryota; Fungi. The record is from RNAcentral.